Molecule: long non-coding RNA, 1572 nt
Organism: Pezoporus occidentalis (night parrot)
Lineage: Eukaryota; Metazoa; Chordata; Aves; Psittaciformes; Psittacidae
Exons: 3
Source: RefSeq, a predicted model, not a curated record
GUAGAGAGCCAUUUUGCUUGAAGAAGCAAGCAUAAAGGAAGGACAGGGCAUUAUUUUAAAGAAUAAAACCCAGAGACAAAUACAUAUUGCAUUUGAUGGAAAACAAGCAAGAAGAGAAGCUAGAAAAGACAAGCUAAGCUUUCAUAGCUUCUAACCCUCUUCCUGGGUGCUCAGUGCUCCCUAGGUAACAGCAAUAACCAGGCAACAACAGCAGUAGCUCUUUGUAUCUAGAGGCUUUGGCAUCCUUUGGAAAUCACUCAUCAAAAUCAGCUGGGGACCAACAAGUGAAUCAGGUUUAGAGCUUAGUUCAGAUAAACAGAGUGAUAAAACAGAGUGCCCAAAUAUUAAAAAUUCUUAAGAAAAUAUACAACUGAAGAUAUCAGCUAGGAAGUUGAUGGUGAGAGAUCCAGAAUGCCAAAGAAAAGGCAGGAAUGUUAACAGUUUGUAGAUUGUGUAAGAAACUCUACAAAAAGGUAGCAGGAGGGCAGAAAUGCAACCACAGACAGGACUGAGGAGGAUCCAUUUAAAUUAAAAUGGUGCAGAAAAAUAGCAGCAUAGUUACAAGCUGAGGGAUGAAUUAAGACAGUGAGGUGGGAGGUUAUGUGCCUGAUGGGAUAUUGUGUGUACGCUAAAGAUAGUAGCUUUAGGAGUGGAAAACCUUGAGUGGAUAUGGGGGUGUGAGGUGACAGCCACACAGAAAGAAGGCAGGAGUAGUGGUAAGUAUUGAAGGGAAAUAAGGUUUUAAUGCUGCUCCAACCAUUCUGUGCCAGAGAUGAACAAACAGCAUAAAUAAUGAAGCUACAACUUUCAAAAUAACUUUAACAACCAAAGCAAAAGCUUGAUAAGUAAUAGAUUCUUUUAUCAAACAGUUGUUAUUGAUAGUGGUCAGUGUCAAGGGCAUCAAUAGCUCUAACUGCCCUGACCAGCCCCACCUGGGACCCAACCACACCCCCUCAGCUCCUUGCUCCAGGAACUCCAUUUAAGCUCAGGGCUGAGCACAUUCAUUUCUCAUAAAUCAUAGGUGAAUUAAUCUUCAGCUCUGUCUUCAGCCUUAUCUCUAGGAUGCCUCUUAUUUCUAUGUUGUAGGUGUGUUUCUGGUUUUUCUGCUGCUUCUGGAUGGAUCCUGCUACUAGUGCUUGGCUCUGCUGGCCCUGCUCAGGAAAUUUUCUUAGUCAUUUGCAUUCCUCUGCAGUAUAAUCAAAGAAUAUAUCUUAUGCCUUGACAGAGGGAGAGUGGCAAAAGGUUCUUAUGGCAAACAAAGGCAAAAAUCUUAAACAGACUUGUCAGAAAAAAGGACAAUAACAAUAGGAAGACAGAAGAUGAGAGUAUCUCUGAGCCUGGAAGCUCUCAAAGACAGGCACAGGAAUGGGUCCCCAUGCUGAGAACAAGCCAGUGCAGAAAGGAGGAGACCUGAGUGACAUUGAGAACUCAACUUGAAACGUCAAAGAUUCUCUUGCUAAAACAAAGGCUGACAUUGCCAGUACUGGAAUCUGCACAUAGGACAGUGUAAUCAUACCAGAACAAGUUCUGGUUUAAAGGCUUGUGUUACAAUGCUUUGUACUGUAAAUAGGC